Molecule: ribosomal RNA, 377 nt
Filed under: uncultured Glomeromycotina
Lineage: Eukaryota; Fungi; Glomeromycota
Description: LSU rRNA
Source: RNAcentral
UUGAAAGGGAAACGAUUGAAGUCAGUCGUACCGACGGAGAAAUCAGCUUUUCGAGUGCUUACUUGUGGGUGUGCGUGAGCGUUUCAAAGGCCUCGCUGUUUGCAUGUUUGUGCUUUUUUGGUGUACUUUUUCGUAUGGUAGGCCAACGUCAGUUUCGAGCACCAUAAAAUGAUCGGAGGAAUGUAGCUUUGAUCUCGUAUUGAAGUGUUAUAGCCUUUGGUAGAUGUGGUGAUCGAAACUGAGGAUUGCAACGAAUACCCUUUGGGCUAUCCGUCUGACCUCUGGAAGUUGCUUAGGUGCCGAAAGCUUGCUUAUGGUAUUUAAGACGACGGUCAAAAGGUUAGAACGUGAUUACAUUCGUUAAGGAUGUUGACGUA